This 443-nucleotide ribosomal RNA is filed under the name uncultured bacterium. RNAcentral describes it as "partial 16S ribosomal RNA". It matches the Rfam family "Bacterial small subunit ribosomal RNA", at positions 338 to 795 of the family's 1533-position model. The record is from RNAcentral.
CCUACGGGUGGCUGCAGUGAGGAAUAUUGGGCAAUGGGCGCAAGCCUGACCCAGCAACGCCGCGUGAAGGAAGAAGGCUUUCGGGUUGUAAACUUCUUUUUUCAGGGACGAAGCAAGUGACGGUACCUGACGAAUCAGCCACUGCUAACUACAUGCCAGCGGCCGCUGUAAUACGGAGGUGGCAAUCGUUAUCCGGAUUUACUGGUUGUAAAGGGCGUGUAGGCGGGACUGGAAGUCAGAUGUGAAAACCAGGGGAUCAACCUGUGGACUGCAUUUGAAACUGUAGUUCUUGAGUACUGGGGAGGUAGACGGAAUGCAUGGUGUAGCGGUGAAAUGCGUAGAGAUUAGGAGGAACACCAGUGGCGAAGGCGGUCUGCUGGACAGCAACUGACGCUGAGGCGCGAAAGCGUGGGGAGCAAACAGGAUUAGAUACCCUUGUAGUC